This 283-nucleotide long non-coding RNA is filed under the name Trifolium pratense (red clover). RNAcentral's name for it is "long non-coding RNA (TPRA_LNC006723)". Lineage: Eukaryota; Viridiplantae; Streptophyta; Magnoliopsida; Fabales; Fabaceae. The record is from RNAcentral.
GGGGAGAUAAAUUCAAUAAAAAACAUGUGAAUAUAAAAAUAUUGAAAUGAUCAUUCCUUGUACUCAUUAAGAAAAUUUUCCUAUAAAAAUCACAUGGAAGUAAAGUUUCCUAUUGUACUCAUAAUAAUAACAGUGUUCUCUUCCAAACAACAAAAUAACACCCUCUAUAAGGACUUUACUUCCAACACUAUCUGAAAAGAAAUGCUCCGUAUUUCACUGCUGGCCUAAUGCAAGGUGUGAUUAGUAAAACCACAUUGAUAAUUGAUAAGGAACCCCAAUUUUG